CGCCACCACAGCGGCCCGGGGAGCCCGGGGAAGCGGCUCCCGAGCCACAACCACGGCCCCGUUCCGCCCCCGCUGCCCCUCACGGCCCCCGGUCCCGGUCCCCGUUCCCCCCGCCGAGCGCGGACUCCGGCACCGGCCGAAGCAACCACAGCCCUCGUUAAGAGACCGUCUGGAAGUGCCGUUUUUAUUUUUGGUCGAAAAGGCCGAUGGAGAACAACAGCAGAUGCACGUUCACAAGUGGCGGCGCGAGGCGGAGACCCCCGCCCGUGUGUUUUAGCAGCAUGAACAGUCCCGAGGAGUUAGGAGACCACAGCCAAGGACAUGGAUUUUCACAAUGGAGCCAGGCCGAGUACACGAGAUACCGAAGGAGGAGGAUAGUUAGCGUAAAUUGGCCAGGUUGCUUUUGUUUUUGCCUAGCCCUGUGCCACCUCUCUGGUCAACUACUGGUUGUUGUUCUGACUAAAAGAUGCACUAACACAUUCGUUCAGUCUCCUGUGCGUUCAAUCUCGCAAUUUCUGAAUUUUUAUUUUACAGUAAACAAUAAACUGAAUCCUUUCA
Anas platyrhynchos (mallard) is the source of this 558-nucleotide non-coding RNA. NCBI's taxonomy places the organism in Eukaryota, Metazoa, Chordata, Aves, Anseriformes, Anatidae. The record is from RefSeq and is a predicted model, not a curated record.